This 301-nucleotide ribosomal RNA is filed under the name uncultured bacterium. Its description in RNAcentral is "partial 16S ribosomal RNA". It matches the Rfam family "Bacterial small subunit ribosomal RNA", at positions 509 to 809 of the family's 1533-position model. The record is from RNAcentral.
CAGUAGCCGCGGGAAUACGGAGGGUGCAAGCGUUAUCCGGAUUUAUUGGGUUUAAAGCGUCCGUAGGCGGAUCUGUAAGUCAGUGGUGAAAUCUCACAGCUUAACUGUGAAACUGCCAUUGAUACUGCAGGUCUUGAGUAAAUUUGAAGUGGCUGGAAUAAGUAGUGUAGCGGUGAAAUGCAUAGAUAUUACUUAGAACACCAAUUGCGAAGGCAGGUCACUAAGAUUUAACUGACGCUGAUGGACGAAAGCGUGGGGAGCGAACAGGAUUAGAUACCCCAGUAGUCCCUGUCUCUUAUAU